RNAcentral lists this ribosomal RNA (253 nucleotides) under uncultured bacterium. RNAcentral describes it as "partial 16S ribosomal RNA". It matches the Rfam family "Bacterial small subunit ribosomal RNA", at positions 524 to 776 of the family's 1533-position model. The record is from RNAcentral.
UAUGUAGGGUGCGAGCGUUGUCCGGAAUUAUUGGGCGUAAAGAGCUCGUAGGCGGUUUGUCGCGUCGACUGUGAAAACCUACAGCUUAACUGUGGGCUUGCAGUCGAUACGGGCAGACUUGAGUUCGGUAGGGGAGACUGGAAUUCCUGGUGUAGCGGUGGAAUGCGCAGAUAUCAGGAGGAACACCGGUGGCGAAGGCGGGUCUCUGGGCCGUUACUGACGCUGAGGAGCGAAAGCGUGGGGAGCGAACAGG